This 460-nucleotide ribosomal RNA is filed under the name uncultured bacterium. Its description in RNAcentral is "partial 16S ribosomal RNA". It matches the Rfam family "Bacterial small subunit ribosomal RNA", at positions 338 to 795 of the family's 1533-position model. The record is from RNAcentral.
CCUACGGGAGGCAGCAGUGAGGAAUAUUGGUCAAUGGACGCAAGUCUGAACCAGCCAUGCCGCGUGCAGGAAGACGGCUCUAUGAGUUGUAAACUGCUUUUGUACGAGGGUAAAUCCCGAUACGUGUAUCGGGUUGAAAGUAUCGUACGAAUAAGGAGCGGCUAACGCCGUGCCAGCAGCCGAGGUAAUACGGAGGAUUCAAGCGUUAUCCGGAUUUCUUGGGUUUAAAGGGUGCGUAGGCGGUUCGAUAAGUUAGAGGUGAAAUCCCGGGGCUCAACUCCGGCACUGCCUCUGAUACUGUCGGGCUUGAGUGUAGUUGCGGUAGGCGGAAUGUAUGGUGUAGCGGUGAAAUGCAUAGAGAUCAUACAGAACACCGAUUGCGAAGGCAGCUUACCAAACUACGACUGACGUUGAGGCACGAAAGCGUGGGGAGCAAACAGGAUUAGAUACCCUGGUAGUC